This 466-nucleotide ribosomal RNA is filed under the name uncultured bacterium. RNAcentral's name for it is "partial 16S ribosomal RNA". It matches the Rfam family "Bacterial small subunit ribosomal RNA", at positions 339 to 795 of the family's 1533-position model. The record is from RNAcentral.
CUACGGGCGGCUGCAGUGGGGAAUAUUGGACGAUGGGGGAAACCCUGAUCCAGCAAUGCCGCGUGUGUGAAGAAGGCCUGCGGGUUGUAAAGCACUUUCGGUUGGGAGGACUGCUUCUAGCACUAAUAUUGUUGGAAGUUGACGUUACCUUCAGAAGAAGCACCGGCUAACUCCGUGCCAGCAGCCGCGGCAAUACGGGAGGGUGCAAGCGUUAAUCGGGAUUACUGGGCGUAAAGCGCGCGUAGGCGGCUAGAUCAGUCGGGUGUGAAAGCCCCGGGCUUAACCUGGGAACUGCAUCCGAUACUGUCUAGCUUGAGUACAGGAGAGGAGAGUGGAAUUCCACAUGUAGCGGUGAAAUGCGUAGAUAUGUGGAGGAACACCAAUGGCGAAGGCAGCUCUCUGGCCUGAUACUGACGCUGAGGUGCGAAAGCGUGGGGAGCAAAUAGGAUUAGAUACCCUAGUAGUC